Molecule: ribosomal RNA, 429 nt
Filed under: Bacteroidota bacterium
Lineage: Bacteria; Pseudomonadati; Bacteroidota
Description: Bacteroidetes bacterium partial 16S ribosomal RNA
Rfam family: Bacterial small subunit ribosomal RNA
Source: RNAcentral
UAGGGAAUCUUCCGCAAUGGACGCAAGUCUGACGGAGCAACGCCGCGUGAGUGAAGAAGGAUUUCGGUUCGUAAAACUCUGUUGUUAGAGAAGAACAGCGCAUAGAGUAACUGUUAUGCGUGUGACGGUAUCUAACCAGAAAGCCACGGCUAACUACGUGCCAGCAGCCGCGGUAAUACGUAGGUGGCAAGCGUUGUCCGGAUUUAUUGGGCGUAAAGCGAGCGCAGGCGGUCAAUUAAGUCUGAUGUGAAAGCCCCCGGCUCAACCGGGGAGGGUCAUUGGAAACUGGUUGACUUGAGUGCAGAAGAGGAGAGUGGAAUUCCUAGUGUAGCGGUGAAAUGCGCAGAUAUUAGGAGGAAUACCGGUGGCGAAGGCGACUUUCUGGCCAUAAUCUGACGCUGAGGUACGAAAGCGUGGGUAGCAAACAGG